AAGUUGACGGGGGCCCGCACAGGCAGCGGAGCAUGUGGUUUAAUUCGAAGCAACGCGAAGAACCUUACCUAGACUUGACAUCUCCUGAAUUACCCGUAACUGGGGAAGCUCUUCGGAGCAGGAAGACAGGUGGUGCAUGGUUGUCGUCAGCUCGUGUCGUGAGAUGUUGGGUUAAGUCCCGCAACGAGCGCAACCCUUAUCGUUAGUUGCUACCAUUAAGUUGAGCACUCUAGCGAGACUGCCCGGGUUAACCGGGAGGAAGGUGGGGAUGACGUCAAAUCAUCAUGCCCCUUAUGUCUAGGGCUACACACGUGCUACAAUGGCCGGUACAAAGAGUUGCGAAACUGUGAAGUUAAGCUAAUCUCAUAAAGCCGGUCUCAGUUCGGAUUGUAGUCUGCAACUCGACUACAUGAAGUCGGAAUCGCUAGUAAUCGCGAAUCAGAAUGUCGCGGUGAAUACGUUCUCGAGUCUU
RNAcentral lists this ribosomal RNA (472 nucleotides) under uncultured Clostridium sp. RNAcentral describes it as "bacterial SSU rRNA". It matches the Rfam family "Bacterial small subunit ribosomal RNA", at positions 910 to 1382 of the family's 1533-position model. The record is from RNAcentral. Lineage: Bacteria; Bacillati; Bacillota; Clostridia; Eubacteriales; Clostridiaceae.